This 272-nucleotide long non-coding RNA is filed under the name Setaria italica (foxtail millet). RNAcentral describes it as "long non-coding RNA (SITA_LNC000983)". Lineage: Eukaryota; Viridiplantae; Streptophyta; Magnoliopsida; Poales; Poaceae. The record is from RNAcentral.
GAGCCCCGGGCGGCGAAGGAGGCGCUGGGGUGGGCGAGCACGACGAACCUGCCGGAGGACCUCAAGGAGCGGUACGCCGAGUACGCCGCCAGCGGCCGCGGCGACAAGGACAUGGCCUUCGACCUCGACGACAAGAUCCUCGGCGCCGUCGGGAUUGUGCCGGCCAGCGCCACCGUGUAGGAGGAAGCAGGCAGUAUCAAAAGACAAGUUUUGUGGAUAUAUAUACGCUAGCAGGUCCUCCUGGCACGUCGCCAAAGAGGCAAAGACGCUAC